Molecule: ribosomal RNA, 253 nt
Filed under: uncultured bacterium
Lineage: Bacteria
Description: partial 16S ribosomal RNA
Rfam family: Bacterial small subunit ribosomal RNA
Source: RNAcentral
GACAGAGGGUGCAAACGUUGUUCGGAAUUACUGGGCGUAAAGCGUGUGUAGGCGGCCUUAUAAGUCGGAUGUGAAAGCCCAGGGCUCAACCCUGGAAGUGCACUCGAUACUGUAAGGCUCGAGUACUGGAGAGGUUGGUGGAAUUCUCGGUGUAGAGGUGAAAUUCGUAGAUAUCAAGCGGAACACCGGUGGCGAAGGCGGCCUUCUGGACAGUGACUGACGCUGAGACGCGAAAGCGUGGGGAGCAAACAGG